Long non-coding RNA from Quercus lobata, 800 nucleotides. RefSeq lists it as uncharacterized. The transcript has 5 exons. The record is from RefSeq and is a predicted model, not a curated record. NCBI's taxonomy places the organism in Eukaryota, Viridiplantae, Streptophyta, Magnoliopsida, Fagales, Fagaceae.
UGUCCUUCCUAUCUAACCCCAUUCAUUCAUUCAACUUACAACGCCUCCACCACUCAUAUUCAUCCGAACCUCCUCUCUCUCUCUAUCUUUCUUUCUCUCUCUCUCUGCAAAAUUCAAUUUCUACUUCUCUACUAAAUCUGUUUUAUCAAGAAAAAAUAUAAAAAAUUUGGUUUCGUUCCCAUCUCUGCAAAAUUCAGUCUAAACUAUUUUUCUCUUGCUCUGUUUUGCAGAUCAAUUAUGGAUCUCCUUUACAAACGCAGGCUUCAUAUGCAAGAUUAGGCAUAGAUCUUUUCAUUCUUUGUAAAGGCAGCAUUCAACACGGCAAGCAAGGUAUGGACCUUGGAUGGACACCAAUCUAGUACUCCCACUAGGACCCAGGAGAUGUCAAAUGGUAUUUGACUACUUUCUUGAAGCUUCUCUUAAGGUCCCCAUGUUGCUAACAAGUUCUAACUGGUUUUAGUUAGCCCUUGUGGCACGCCUUGCCCUGGCCUGCCUUAUAGCUGCAGUUCGAGCUUGCUGCUUCUCCCUUUUCCUCUCAGAUUUGCUCUUCUUCUCCUUGAAGUAACCUGCCUUCUCUGCAUCUGGAACUGGAGCUGAACCAGCAGUGCCACUACAAAUUGAAGUUGACAGUUUUGCAAGGAUUCAAAGAACUACAGAGACACCCAAAAAAUAUAAAGAAAAAGAAAAAGAAAUUUGUAUUGGUCUAAUGUUUGUUCCUUUUUUCCUAACUCUAAUAUGAGCAUCACAUAUACAGUUUCUAUUCAUUUUUAACUGAACUUUUACUUUAUGAUUUGAGUUCA